UAAAUAAGUGUCUGCUUAUAAUUAAAAUAUAUAUAAUUUCAUCAUAAACUACAAAAUAGAAUGCAUAUAUAUUAUGAAGUAUUGGAACCUAAUGAAAACAUGUGAAAUAAAGAUAUAAUGUGUGUUCAUUUAAGUAUGCAACAAGCAAUGGUGAAGCUAGAUAGGGGUGAAGGGGGGCGGCCGCCCCUCAGCUCACCAGAAAACAAGGCCAGGAGCGAGUCCUAAGCUCAUUUGGUUUAGCUGGAAACUGGAAAUUUGAAAUAGUGGUUCUGCUGCGCAACUCCUCCUGCGUGCAGGGUUUGUUUUCAUAAAAAAAAAAAUUAUUAUUUAAGUAAACGUUGUCGUUUUACUUCUCCAUUUAAAAAAUAAAUAAAGUAUUGUGGGUGGGGACCAGUCAUUACCCCGUCCCUCCCCAAUUCCCAUCCCCCCACUUUACCAAACACGCAAAUCCCUCAUCCUUCCCAAUUUUAGGUAAAUUUUUGUUAUUUCAAACCCUAAUUGAUUAUUUAAUACAAAUUUUGUUUAAUUGAAAUAGAAUUAUAGAGUAAUACCGUAAUAUGGUUAUUGGCUAUUGAAUAUGAAAUGAAUUCUAUGAUUAUUGAUGAAUGAAAUUAUUGUUUAGGAUAAAAAUUGAAUUCUUGAAUAUUGACUAAUGUAUACGAUUAUUCAUAUUGAUUAAUUGAAUUGUUGCUCUGAUUAGUUAUGAGUCAUAUUAGUAUAGUCUACUCUAGGCUUAAGUAUCUAAGAAUUUUUUUUUUUCUCAUUACACAGUUGCAAAUGGAUCAAUGGUUGAUUGAUAACAUGAUUGUUUACAUUGAGAGAAAUGUAUUUGCUUUUAUUGAUAAUGAGCUUAUUAUACGACGUUUUCAUGACAUGAAAUCUUGCCUGUAACAAUUAUAAUUUGUUUGUAUUGAUAAAUUAUAGAAGACAUUACUAUAUAAAAGGAUUUGGUUGUUGCCAUUUUUUUAACUUUGCACUCUAUAAGUUCGCCCCUCACUCCGACCAUUCCUGGCUUCGCCAUUAGCAACAAGUCUCUUACAAUUUAUGCAAAAUGAAAGUUAUAUAUUUUCUAUCUAAAUGAGUUGCAACCUAGGCAGGUGCCUAGGUGGGUUUGGGCGGGCUAGGCCAGUGUCUAUGCUGGUGCCUCAAUAGGUUUAGGCGCCCUUUCUUAAUUCUCAAACGCCUAGGAAUUAAUCGGGACGGUAGUCAGUCGCCUAGCGCCUAAGCCCAGGCGGGGAUUUUUAAAAUAGUGGUCGAAAUUAAUACAUCAUCAAACUGAGCAAAAAUAAUAUUUAGGAGUGGGCACAGUUUGGUGCAAUUCGUGUGUGGGGUAAAACUGAAACCGAAAUUUUCGGUUCGACAGUGAGAACUAAACCAUUCUGUUUUAGUUUAGUUCCAUUUUAAUUUAAAUUUGGGCCUAACUUAUAGGCCCGUAAAAUAUUUGGGUUUACCUUAUAGGCCUAUUCAAUUUAGGGUUCUCAACUUUUUUUUUUAAUUUUUUUUUUAUAGUUUUUUUUUUUUGUUUUUUUUUGUUUUGGCCUCCAAAAUGAAUGGGAAGAACAGCUUACGGUAAGUAAACCAAAAGUGAUAACCACCCUACUAAAAUUCAAGAAAAUCUCUUUUGGGUUUGUUUCCAAAUCAAAGGAGAAAAACAAAUCCGAGCAACAAAUAACCACAAUAAUAAAAUUCAAGUAUCCAAACCUAUAUAUGGACUCCACCAAAUAACUAUUGCACCCCAAUACCUAAUUUGCUAAUUAAAUUAAGUUUUUUUUUAUAUAUAUAUUAUGAGGUUUGGUUCUAAAUACUAUGAAUUGGAACCAAAUAGUUAUUUUAGCUUUCUAGUUUCAAAUUGAGAUCGUUUCAAGACCGCAAAAACUGUUUGGUGCAUGUUCAAUUGAUCCCUAUUUCAGUUUUGGUUUU
Molecule: long non-coding RNA, 1920 nt
Filed under: Malus domestica (apple)
Lineage: Eukaryota; Viridiplantae; Streptophyta; Magnoliopsida; Rosales; Rosaceae
Description: long non-coding RNA (MDOM_LNC012495)
Source: RNAcentral